This 653-nucleotide ribosomal RNA is filed under the name uncultured bacterium. RNAcentral's name for it is "bacterial SSU rRNA". It matches the Rfam family "Bacterial small subunit ribosomal RNA", at positions 202 to 842 of the family's 1533-position model. The record is from RNAcentral.
AAAAGGUGGCUAUGCUACCGCUUUUGGAUGGGCCCGCGGCGCAUUAGCUAGUUGGUGGGGUAAAGGCUUACCAGGGCAAUGAUGCGUAGCCGAACUGAGAGGUUGAUCGGCCACAUUGGGACUGAGACACGGCCCAAACUCCUACGGGAGGCAGCAGUAGGGAAUCUUCCACAAUGGGCGAAAGCCUGAUGGAGCAACGCCGCGUGGGUGAAGAAGGUCUUCGGAUCGUAAAACCCUGUUGUUAGAGAAGAAAGUGCGUGAGAGUAACUGUUCACGUUUCGACGGUAUCUAACCAGAAAGCCACGGCUAACUACGUGCCAGCAGCCGCGGUAAUACGUAGGUGGCAAGCGUUAUCCGGAUUUAUUGGGCGUAAAGGGAACGCAGGCGGUCUUUUAAGUCUGAUGUGAAAGCCUUCGGCUUAACCGGAGUAGUGCAUUGGAAACUGGGAGACUUGAGUGCAGAAGAGGAGAGUGGAACUCCAUGUGUAGCGGUGAAAUGCGUAGAUAUAUGGAAGAACACCAGUGGCGAAAGCGGCUCUCUGGUCUGUAACUGACGCUGAGGUUCGAAAGCGUGGGUAGCAAACAGGAUUAGAUACCCUGGUAGUCCACGCCGUAAACGAUGAAUGCUAAGUGUUGGAGGGUUUCCGCCCUUCA